Molecule: ribosomal RNA, 439 nt
Filed under: uncultured prokaryote
Description: bacterial SSU rRNA
Rfam family: Bacterial small subunit ribosomal RNA
Source: RNAcentral
UCGAGAAUCUUCCUCAAUGGGCGAAAGCCUGAAGGAGCAAUGCCGCGUGCGGGAUGAAGGCCCUCGGGUUGUAAACCGCGAAAGUAAGGAGGAAGGUCCGCCGAAGAGGCGGAUUUGACCAAUUUACAGUAAGGACGGGCUAAGUUCGUGCCAGCAGCCGCGGUAAGACGAACCGUCCAAACGUUAUUCGGAAUUAUUGGGCUUAAAGGGUGCGUAGGCGGCGCUAUAAGUCAGGUGUGAAAUCCCACGGCUCAACCGUGGAACUGCGCUUGAUACUGUAGUGCUUGAGGGAGACAGAGGUAAGCGGAACUGAUGGUGGAGCGGUGAAAUGCGUUGAUAUCAUCAGGAACACCAGUGGCGAAAGCGGCUUACUGGGUCUCUUCUGACGCUGAGGCACGAAAGCUAGGGUAGCGAACGGGAUUAGAUACCCCCGUAGUCC